RNAcentral lists this long non-coding RNA (378 nucleotides) under Hordeum vulgare. Its description in RNAcentral is "long non-coding RNA (HVUL_LNC003212)". Lineage: Eukaryota; Viridiplantae; Streptophyta; Magnoliopsida; Poales; Poaceae. The record is from RNAcentral.
UUCCUGAUAUUUUUCUACUCAGGAUUCGAAAUCAUGAAAAUUCCAAGCAUAUAUUUAUAAUCCUAUUUGUUUCUACAUUUGAAUUUCCAGCACCUAUAUACAUUUUCAGUAAAAAUAUCCUAUUCGCGGGUUACCAAGAAGACUACUAUGUGCGGAUCUAAGAUAGCAGGGACAAGAUAAAAUCAGCGCAUACAUUUGGAGCGAAGUUUACAUUCACGAUUAAUUUCUGUAGGCUCCUUCGGGUGAUUAGAAUGCUAAGCUAUAUGGUCAUUGAAAAGAGUGAGUUUAGAUGUGGGCUUACAUACCAUGUAAAACUGGGUUCUACAUUCUUGAAGCAAACACACGGGGUUGUUUUCUUACAUUCAUGUUUUCAAUUGG